GACGAACGCUGGCGGCGUGCUUAACACAUGCAAGUCGAACGGAAAGGCCCUGCUUUUGUGGGGUGCUCGAGUGGCGAACGGGUGAGUAACACGUGAGUAACCUGCCCUUGACUUUGGGAUAACUUCAGGAAACUGGGGCUAAUACCGGAUAGGAGCUCCUGCUGCAUGGUGGGGGUUGGAAAGUUGCGGCGGUUGGGGAUGGACUCGCGGCUUAUCAGCUUGUUGGUGGGGUAGUGGCUUACCAAGGCUUUGACGGGUAGCCGGCCUGAGAGGGUGACCGGCCACAUUGGGACGGAGAUACGGCCCAGACGCCUACGGGAGGCAGCAGUGGGGAAUAUUGCACAAUGGGCGGAAGCCGGAUGCAGGAACGCCGCGUGCGGGAUGACGGCCGUCGGGGGGUAAACCGCUUUCGCCUGUGACGAAGCGUGAGUGACGGUAAUGGGUAAAGAAGCACCGGCUAACUACGUG
Molecule: ribosomal RNA, 468 nt
Filed under: uncultured bacterium
Lineage: Bacteria
Description: partial 16S ribosomal RNA
Rfam family: Bacterial small subunit ribosomal RNA
Source: RNAcentral